RNAcentral lists this transfer RNA (77 nucleotides) under Bacillus phage vB_BanS_Chewbecca. Its description in RNAcentral is "tRNA-Glu". It matches the Rfam family "tRNA". From Rfam's summary of the family: Transfer RNA (tRNA) molecules are approximately 80 nucleotides in length. Their secondary structure includes four short double-helical elements and three loops (D, anti-codon, and T loops). The record is from RNAcentral. Lineage: Duplodnaviria; Heunggongvirae; Uroviricota; Caudoviricetes. RNAcentral also lists the same sequence under 2 other names.
UGGCGCAUUGGUCAAUGGGUUAAGACGGUAGCCUUUCACGCUACAGUAACGGGUUCGAGUCCCGUAUGCGCUAUCAU